AAAAGGCACCUCACUAAAACAAUUGUCUCUGGGAUGUUUUCUCUUCAGGUUUUUCAGUUGUUUCUGAGUCCUGGCUGUAGAACUGUUCAUAUCAUCUUUGGGAUCCCUUGCAGCUGAAGCAGAAAUUACAUGCUUCUCAGCAGAAGGCAACUCUGUUCCUGACUCACUGCGGAGGCUUUGCUGACCCAAGCGGAGGCAGAGAAAUACCUUGCAGAAGUUCAAGCCCAGGAGCAGCAAAGUUGAGCGCAAAAGGAGAUGAGAACGAUAUUUAAAAGAUGAAAUGCUGCAGCUGAAGAGAAGGCACUUGUGACUGACAACUAAAUUUCUUCUCCACAACCUGCCAUCAAACCCCCAUCUGGAAUUUUAGAGAUGACAGAAGGGAGCUUUCUUUGCCAUUGUAGUUAACAGCAAUGUGACUGCUCUUAGCACAAGUGGAAAAGAAUUAAUUACUUUGAAAGCAAGAUGAAGGUAGACAGAAUAACUAUGGUGAGAGAAAUCAUCAUAUAAGAAAAUAGACAUCUGACGCAUGAAAGGAAUUAAAUGAAGCACCAGCUGAAAGAAGGAAUGAAGGGAAGUUCUAAAUUGAAAGAAAAAGAAGUAUCUCAACGAUGCAGAGAGGCAGCACUGAAGAGGCUUUAGAGAAAGCUACCAUGCCUAAGUAUGAGGCCAAAAGGGGGAAUGUUUACUGGAAUGUGACAGAAGAGAAGAGGAGAGAAUCUAUGCUACUUUGGGUGACACCUACUGCUGACACUUAAGGUACAACAGUGAAAAAGCCUGAUAGCGCUGAUGGCCCAUCAGCAAGAGACAAUGGACUGUAAAAGAGCUUAGUCUUCCUGUGAACCUGUGGGUCAGCCUGUGAACAAUGGCUACAGGGGCCCUACAGAGGCAUGUGACCAUGAUACUGGAACCCAUCUUGAAUUCUGUACUUUUCCACGAGAAGUUAGUGGGGGUGGGGGGUGUCAAACUACGAAACAAAGGACUCCCACUUUAUGCAAAUCCUAUUUAAGAGUUGGGAGUGAGGUAAUCCAGGUUGUCAGGUCUUCCCUGCUUCCCCACCCAAGAUAACUGUGGAAAACAACUAAGACUGAACUGGGAGAAAGAACUGGAACCAGGCUGGAAGGGCGUCUGGCCUGUGAAGAAGAUUAUUAGAACCACGUUUAGGGAUAUUGUAUAAAAUUGCUGCACCAAGCUCAAGCCCUGGACAAGAGCAGCUGAGUGCACUUUGCCCCAUUGACCUAUAAGAGAGAGUGCCUGCCAGAAAAAGAGAGAAAUUUGCUGAAUAUUUCUGAAUUCCUGCUGAAGAUUAAGAGAAGAGAAGAGAUGGUUACAAGCAAAUAUAGCAUUUUAUACAAGAUGGAAAAAGACCCAAGUGUGACCCUAGGAGCUUCUCAAUGCCAACUGGUGAAGGGUUCAUAGUUCUGUCAGCAACAUGACCAACUCACUACACCUAACAUAUUGCUUUCAUAGUAUUUCCAAAAAGCAUCUUGUGAGGUAUCAAAUGAAAGUCAGUAGCACACUGAUGAUUUAUAUUAUCAUGCAAUGUUUGUUUUAACACUCUGUGAGGAAUUAUGUAUAUCUACUGAUACUAAGUUUUAAAGUCUGUAACGAAAGGAAGAAACAAGUUUUCUUCCAGACAGGAGGGAAGGUAGUUAUCUCUGUCAAAUGUAAAUGUAAUAUUUUCAUCCUCUGGACAGAUGAUCUAAUCUCCCUCAUAGAUUUCUACUACAAUUUCAACAAUCACCACCAUCAAAUUCUCUUUAGAACACUCAUGGACCAGGAUCAACUUCCUGGACACCAUGCUUCAACAGUGGAACCCUACAGACAAUUUUAUACAAAAAACCCACAGUUCACAAUACCUAGCUUUACAGUCCAAGUAACCACCCCACACAUACCAAAAAAUUUGUUAUCUACAGCCAGGCAUUCAGAUACCACAGAAUAUGGUCUGAGGAAUAAGUCCAGGAUACACAUCUUAACAUACUUAAAACUACCUUCAGACACCAGAGAAGGAGAUUACAUCAUGUGUCCCAAAAACCCCAAGAGAACCCACUUCAAUACAGGACCAACAAAAUCCCUCUGACCACACACUCAAUGGGGACCACAUCCUGAAAGAAAAACACACACUCUUUUUCUGGUCUUCAGACAACCCCACAACCUCAUCAAGUUCAUCACAGACCAGGACACACCAGAUCCGAGGCACCAGGCACUAUUGUAACAACAGAUGCAAAACCUGCAGGUAUAGCUCAACUAUAAUGAUGACCAAUUACCCCCCCACACAGCUGUCAGGAUCCAUGGGUCCUAUGCAUGCCUAUCUCCACAUGUGGUGUACCACUGUACCUCAUCCAUGCACUAAAUGUUCCAGUAACAACUAUGUGGGUAAACCAGACAAUCACUAUACUUUUGAAUGAACUCAGAAAAAUGAUAAAGGACAAAAACGCUGUAUGCCCCAUGGACUUCUCACAAAACCAUCACUCCACGUCUGACCUCUCAGUCUUCAUCUUCAAAGGAAACCUGCACAACAAUUUCCAAAGAUGAGUCCAGGCACUUAAAUUCAUAACUGCUAAAUGCGAAAAAAACCCAAACCCAUGAUCCUAAUAAAGACACCGUAUUUAUGACUUCUUAUAACAAUCUGUAACCCGCUAAGCCACCUUCUUUGUCUUAUGACUGCAGAGGGGUUAACUGGCCACUUCACCUUGAAUGGUGUCUCAGAAUGUGUGUUAGCUGCUUAUGCUGAAUAAUUUGUUCCACCUUGUAUUUAGCUGUGACACUCCAAGUACGUUUCCCAGACCUGAAGAAGGGCUC
Molecule: long non-coding RNA, 2799 nt
Organism: Chelonoidis abingdonii (Abingdon island giant tortoise)
Lineage: Eukaryota; Metazoa; Chordata; Testudines; Testudinidae
Source: RefSeq, a predicted model, not a curated record